GCCUGGGUGGCUCAGUGGGUUAAGCGUCUGACUUCCGCUCAGGUCAUGAUCUUGCUCGGUUUGCGAGUUCAAGCCCCGCGUCGGGCU
Molecule: transfer RNA, 87 nt
Filed under: Felis catus (domestic cat)
Lineage: Eukaryota; Metazoa; Chordata; Mammalia; Carnivora; Felidae
Rfam family: tRNA
About the family: Transfer RNA (tRNA) molecules are approximately 80 nucleotides in length. Their secondary structure includes four short double-helical elements and three loops (D, anti-codon, and T loops). Further hydrogen bonds mediate the characteristic L-shaped molecular structure. tRNAs have two regions of fundamental functional importance: the anti-codon, which is responsible for specific mRNA codon recognition, and the 3' end, to which the tRNAs corresponding amino acid is attached (by aminoacyl-tRNA synthetases). tRNAs cope with the degeneracy of the genetic code in two manners: having more than one tRNA (with a specific anti-codon) for a particular amino acid; and 'wobble' base-pairing, i.e. permitting non-standard base-pairing at the 3rd anti-codon position.
Source: Rfam by way of RNAcentral